AGUUACUUUCAGUGGCGAGGUUAACUGCAUAAGGGAGCCGUAGAGAAAUCGAGUCUGAAUAGGGCGAUAGUCGCUGGGAGUAGACCCGAAACCGGGCGAUCUAGCCAUGUGCAGGAUGAAGGUUGGGUAACACCAACUGGAGGUCCGAACCGGGUAAUGUUGAAAAAUUAUCGGAUGACGUGUGGCUAGGAGUGAAAGGCUAAUCAAGCCCGGAGAUAGCUGGUUCUCCCCGAAAGCUAUUUAGGUAGCGCCUCGUGAAUGAUUACUGGGGGUAGAGCACUGUUUCGGCUAGGGGGCUGUCAUGGCUUACCAAACCGAUGCAAACUCCGAAUACCGGCUAAUUGGAUCACGGGAGACACACGGCGGGUGCUAACGUCCGUCGUGGAGAGGGAAACAACCCAGACCGCCAGCUAAGGUCCCCAAGUACUAGUUAAGUGGGAAACGAUGUGGGAAGGCAUAGACAGCCAGGAGGUUGGCUUAGAAGCAGCCACCCUUUAAAGAAAGCGUAAUAGCUCACUGGUCGAGUCGGCCUGCGCGGAAGAUGUAACGGGGCUAAAACUAGUCACCGAAGCUGCGGAUGUGCGCGAAGGCGCACGUGGUAGGGGAGCGUUCUGUAGGCUGAUGAAGGUGCAUUGAGAGGUGUGCUGGAGGUAUCAGAAGUGCGAAUGCUGACAUGAGUAACGAUAAUGUGGGUGAAAAGCCCACACGCCGGAAGUCCCAGGUUUCCUGCACGACGUUAAUCGGAGCAGGGUGAGUCGGCCCCUAAGGCGAGGCUGAAGAGCGUAGUCGAUGGGAACCAGGUUAAUAUUCCUGGACUUUUUAUAAGUGGUGAAGUGGGGACGAAGAAGGCUAGGUGAGCCAGGCGUUGGUUGUCCUGGUACUUGCAUGUAGGGGGGAAGACUUGGCAAAUCCGGUUUUCCGAUACUCUGAGGUGCGAAGUGGUUCUGACCUUUUGGUACAGAGAAGUCAUUGAUGCCCGGCUUCCAGGAAAAGCUGCUAGCCAUAACUUAUAGAGAACCGUACCGCAAACCGACACAGGUGGACAGGUAGAGAAUACUAAGGCGCUUGAGAGAACUCGGGUGAAGGAACUAGGCAAAAUGGUACCGUAACUUCGGGAGAAGGUACGCCCUUUCUGGUGAUGGGAUUUACUUUCAGAGCUGGAGAGGGCCGCAGAGACCAGGUGGCUGCGACUGUUUAUUAAAAACACAGCACUCUGCAAAUUCGUAAGAAGACGUAUAGGGUGUGACGCCUGCCCGGUGCCGGAAGGUUAAUUGAUGGGGUUAUCUUCGGAGAAGCUCUUGAUCGAAGCCCCGGUAAACGGCGGCCGUAACUAUAACGGUCCUAAGGUAGCGAAAUUCCUUGUCGGGUAAGUUCCGACCUGCACGAAUGGCGUAACGAUGGCCACACUGUCUCCACCCGAGACUCAGUGAAAUUGAAAUCGCUGUGAAGAUGCAGUGUACCCGCGGCUAGACGGAAAGACCCCGUGAACCUUUACUAUAGUUUUGCACUGGACUUUGAUGAUGACUGUGUAGGAUAGGUGGGAGGCUGUGAAGUGAGGACGCUAGUUCUCAUGGAGCCGCCCUUGAAAUACCACCCUGUUGUUAUUGAGGUUCUAACUUGGUCCAGUAAUCCUGGAUGAGGACAGUGUAUGAUGGGUAGUUUGACUGGGGCGGUCUCCUCCCAAAGAGUAACGGAGGAGCACAAAGGUACCCUCGGUACGGUCGGACAUCGUACCAAGAGUGUAAAGGCAAAAGGGUGCUUGACUGCGAGAGUGACGGCUCGAGCAGGAACGAAAGUUGGUCUUAGUGAUCCGGUGGUUCUGAAUGGAAGGGCCAUCGCUCAACGGAUAAAAGGUACUCCGGGGAUAACAGGCUGAUACCGCCCAAGAGUUCAUAUCGACGGCGGUGUUUGGCACCUCGAUGUCGGCUCAUCACAUCCUGGGGCUGAAGCAGGUCCCAAGGGUAUGGCUGUUCGCCAUUUAAAGUGGUACGCGAGCUGGGUUUAGAACGUCGUGAGACAGUUCGGUCCCUAUCUGCCGUGGGCGUAGGAAAAUUGAGAGGAGCUGCUCCUAGUACGAGAGGACCGGAGUGGACGAACCUCUGGUGCACCGGUUGUCACGCCAGUGGCAUGGCCGGGUAGCUAAGUUCGGACGGGAUAACCGCUGAAAGCAUCUAAGCGGGAAGCCUCCCUCAAGAUGAGUUUUCCCAUGAAGCCCGUUGAAGACUACGACGUUGAUAGGCAAGGUGUGGAAGCGCAGUAAUGUGUGAAGCUAACUUGUACUAAUUGGCUGAUUGUCUUGACCAUAUAAUCUGAG
Molecule: ribosomal RNA, 2314 nt
Filed under: Legionella pneumophila
Lineage: Bacteria; Pseudomonadati; Pseudomonadota; Gammaproteobacteria; Legionellales; Legionellaceae
Description: partial 23S ribosomal RNA
Rfam family: Bacterial large subunit ribosomal RNA
Source: RNAcentral